Ananas comosus (pineapple) is the source of this 1990-nucleotide RNA transcript. RefSeq lists it as uncharacterized. The transcript is spliced from 4 exons. Lineage: Eukaryota; Viridiplantae; Streptophyta; Magnoliopsida; Poales; Bromeliaceae. The record is from RefSeq and is a predicted model, not a curated record.
ACCGACCUAGGCCUGAUACUGGGCCGGAGAGAGUAGGUCCCCGGUUUCUCUUCCGAGAUAUUGGGCCGGGCCCAUGUGGACCCACGGCCCCCGAAUUCGCGCAGUUGAGUGCGGGAGAUAGGGAAUGCGCAGUUGAUUUGCGAGAGAGCGCGGACAGCAGUAGCGGCGGCGAGCGAUUCUCCUCCUUCAAUCUUCGUUCCCAUCCUCGCCUCCUCGGCCGUCGGCUACCAUGCUCGUCCUCUCCUCUCCUCCACCCUCGACACCUCCUCCUACUCCUCCGAGGCCGGCGAACUCCCCCGUCUCCGCCAGGUUCUCGCCGGGGCUCCGUCGCGGCUCGGCGGUGCCUCCGCCGCAACGCCGGAGCGCGCCGCUCCUCUCGCUCUCGUGUCCUCCGCCCGUCUCCGCCCAGAAUGAUCUAGGGUCUCGCCGCAGCGACUCCGAGAUCGGCCUCGUCUCCCUUCUGUUCGUCCUCUCGGUGGUAAUAAUCAUCUCCCUUUUCUCACCCAUUUAUGAUGAUGCGUUAGUAUCAGGGUUUGCUCAUACUCAGCGUUGCUAUUUCGGAUUUGAGGCUGUCGAAAGCAUCGGCCAUAAUGUACAACAACAGGUUCUCUUCUAGGUUGGUUCCUUUAUAUUUUUGUUACCGAUUAAUCCACGGUAUAGCAAGCAUGGUGUUGUUGGUGCUUGCUCUGACAGUAAGAUGAGGUAAGGUAACUAAACAGUUAACAGCAAGAUGAGGAAGCAAGAGCCCCUCACGGAUUCUCGCAGUCUAGAACAGCGAAUCCUUAUCCAUCUACAUUGUGAAACAGCUUAAAACUGCUGCCCACUGUCAUAUUUUUAUGCUGUUAUGGUUAAUUAAAGUUUGCGAGUAUAUCGUGCUGGUUAGAACUCUGGCUUUGGUCCCUGCAGUAUGUUGAAGAUUACCAUCCCGAUUUAGUUAUCUACUUAUCUCAGGUUUGUUUGGCAGGUGCUGGGAUCAUUUUUCUCAUUGGCAGUCAUCUCAUUGCCAGCCCUGAGUGCUCUCAAACGGUUAGCUGUUUCAGCGGAUAAACUGUCAGAAGUAGUUUCAGAAGAAGUGCCCGGUACUUUGUUUUCACUUAAGCUGCCUAGCUUGGAAAUUAAUGAUUUGACAAGCCAACUUAACAAUCUUAGGUAAGUCUACUCUCUAUUAGCAGUGUUUAAUUUGACUAUAAAAUUUAACAUAUAAUUCGGUUUCUUUUCCCGCAUGUUGAAGGCAAAGAAUAGCAGGAAGGCACUCUGGAAAGAAGGGUAGAAAAAAUAAGCCAAGAUCAAAUGGAGGAAAUAAUCCGAUAGUAAGCUGAUUUUUCAGCUAUAUUCGAGUGAAAUGAAGUAUGUGAGAUUUUGCCACCCAAGCAAAUUUUGUCCGGUCGGAAUUGAUGGUGGAAGAAUUUUCGGCCGGCUUCGUUGGUUGACAAAGGCAACAGCCCAUCAUCUACCGGGCUACCGCUUAGCAGAAAGCCAGAAAACCAUGUCUAUUUAUUUAUCUCUCCAUCUAUUCGAUCGGUCCCAGCCUUCCACUGCUGUGGCGGGCGGUGGUGCGUGUGUCACCUGAUUCAUCGAUUCGAUUCGGUUCGGUUCGAUUCGAUUCGGUCGAGAGAUAAAUUGAAGAAUAUGGAUGAUGAUGAUGAUUUACCUGGAUGGUCCUGCCCACCCGAACGGGCGUCGCUUCUGCUUCGACUUGCUCGCCGAGCAUGGCCGGCUUGAUAUGGUUGGUGGAGAGCUGCACCCCGAACACCCUUCGGUACCCGGACGCCACGUACCCCCCCAAACUCGCCGUCGAUUCGGCUAUCAGCGCCGACACCCCUCCGUUCAGCACCUUGAAAGGCUGUUUAUGUUUAUGCAAAAGCAAUUGAUUAGCCAAACUAGAAGAAUUAAUAUAUUAAUUGUACAUCACUUUGUAGUGAGAAGAUCGAUCAUCAUUAAUUUUUUUAUUAUUAUACUUCAAUAUUGAAGAAGCAGUGUUUUGAUAUUA